This 2908-nucleotide ribosomal RNA is filed under the name Salmonella enterica subsp. enterica serovar Typhimurium. RNAcentral's name for it is "23S ribosomal RNA". It matches the Rfam family "Bacterial large subunit ribosomal RNA". The record is from RNAcentral. Lineage: Bacteria; Pseudomonadati; Pseudomonadota; Gammaproteobacteria; Enterobacterales; Enterobacteriaceae.
GGUUAAGCGACUAAGCGUACACGGUGGAUGCCCUGGCAGUCAGAGGCGAUGAAGGGCGUGCUAAUCUGCGAUAAGCGCCGGUAAGGUGAUAUGAACCGUUAUAACCGGCGAUACCCGAAUGGGGAAACCCAGUGUGAUUCGUCACACUAUCAUUAACUGAAUCCAUAGGUUAAUGAGGCGAACCGGGGGAACUGAAACAUCUAAGUACCCCGAGGAAAAGAAAUCAACCGAGAUUCCCCCAGUAGCGGCGAGCGAACGGGGAGGAGCCCAGAGCCUGAAUCAGCAUGUGUGUUAGUGGAAGCGUCUGGAAAGGCGCGCGAUACAGGGUGACAGCCCCGUACACAAAAGCGCAUGUGCUGUGAGCUCGAUGAGUAGGGCGGGACACGUGGUAUCCUGUCUGAAUAUGGGGGGACCAUCCUCCAAGGCUAAAUACUCCUGACUGACCGAUAGUGAACCAGUACCGUGAGGGAAAGGCGAAAAGAACCCCGGCGAGGGGAGUGAAAAAGAACCUGAAACCGUGUACGUACAAGCAGUGGGAGCACAGGUUUACCUGUGUGACUGCGUACCUUUUGUAUAAUGGGUCAGCGACUUAUAUUCUGUAGCAAGGUUAACCGUAUAGGGGAGCCGGAGGGAAACCGAGUCUUAAUUGGGCGUUAAGUUGCAGGGUAUAGACCCGAAACCCGGUGAUCUAGCCAUGGGCAGGUUGAAGGUUGGGUAACACUAACUGGAGGACCGAACCGACUAAUGUUGAAAAAUUAGCGGAUGACCUGUGGCUGGGGGUGAAAGGCCAAUCAAACCGGGAGAUAGCUGGUUCUCCCCGAAAGCUAUUUAGGUAGCGCCUCGUGAAUUCAUCUCCGGGGGUAGAGCACUGUUUCGGCUAGGGGGCCAUCCCGGCUUACCAACCCGAUGCAAACUGCGAAUACCGGAGAAUGUUAUCACGGGAGACACACGGCGGGUGCUAACGUCCGUCGUGAAGAGGGAAACAACCCAGACCGCCAGCUAAGGUCCCAAAGUCAUGGUUAAGUGGGAAACGAUGUGGGAAGGCCCAGACAGCCAGGAUGUUGGCUUAGAAGCAGCCAUCAUUUAAAGAAAGCGUAAUAGCUCACUGGUCGAGUCGGCCUGCGCGGAAGAUGUAACGGGGCUAAACCAUGCACCGAAGCUGCGGCAGCGACGCUGAUGCGUUGUUGGGUAGGGGAGCGUUCUGUAAGCCUGCGAAGGUGACCUGUGAGGGUUGCUGGAGGUAUCAGAAGUGCGAAUGCUGACAUAAGUAACGAUAAAGCGGGUGAAAAGCCCGCUCGCCGGAAGACCAAGGGUUCCUGUCCAACGUUAAUCGGGGCAGGGUGAGUCGACCCCUAAGGCGAGGCCGAAAGGCGUAGUCGAUGGGAAACGGGUUAAUAUUCCCGUACUUGGUGUUACUGCGAAGGGGGGACGGAGAAGGCUAUGUUGGCCGGGCGACGGUUGUCCCGGUUUAAGCGUGUAGGUGUGUGUUCCAGGUAAAUCCGGUUCACUUUAACACUGAGGCGUGACGACGAGGCACUACGGUGCUGAAGCAACAAAUGCCCUGCUUCCAGGAAAAGCCUCUAAGCAUCAGGUAACAUCAAAUCGUACCCCAAACCGACACAGGUGGUCAGGUAGAGAAUACCAAGGCGCUUGAGAGAACUCGGGUGAAGGAACUAGGCAAAAUGGUGCCGUAACUUCGGGAGAAGGCACGCUGACACGUAGGUGAAGUGAUUUACUCAUGGAGCUGAAGUCAGUCGAAGAUACCAGCUGGCUGCAACUGUUUAUUAAAAACACAGCACUGUGCAAACACGAAAGUGGACGUAUACGGUGUGACGCCUGCCCGGUGCCGGAAGGUUAAUUGAUGGGGUCAGCGCAAGCGAAGCUCCUGAUCGAAGCCCCGGUAAACGGCGGCCGUAACUAUAACGGUCCUAAGGUAGCGAAAUUCCUUGUCGGGUAAGUUCCGACCUGCACGAAUGGCGUAAUGAUGGCCAGGCUGUCUCCACCCGAGACUCAGUGAAAUUGAACUCGCUGUGAAGAUGCAGUGUACCCGCGGCAAGACGGAAAGACCCCGUGAACCUUUACUAUAGCUUGACACUGAACAUUGAGCCUUGAUGUGUAGGAUAGGUGGGAGGCUUUGAAGUGUGGACGCCAGUCUGCAUGGAGCCGACCUUGAAAUACCACCCUUUAAUGUUUGAUGUUCUAACGUGGACCCGUAAUCCGGGUUGCGGACAGUGUCUGGUGGGUAGUUUGACUGGGGCGGUCUCCUCCUAAAGAGUAACGGAGGAGCACGAAGGUUGGCUAAUCCUGGUCGGACAUCAGGAGGUUAGUGCAAUGGCAUAAGCCAGCUUGACUGCGAGCGUGACGGCGCGAGCAGGUGCGAAAGCAGGUCAUAGUGAUCCGGUGGUUCUGAAUGGAAGGGCCAUCGCUCAACGGAUAAAAGGUACUCCGGGGAUAACAGGCUGAUACCGCCCAAGAGUUCAUAUCGACGGCGGUGUUUGGCACCUCGAUGUCGGCUCAUCACAUCCUGGGGCUGAAGUAGGUCCCAAGGGUAUGGCUGUUCGCCAUUUAAAGUGGUACGCGAGCUGGGUUUAGAACGUCGUGAGACAGUUCGGUCCCUAUCUGCCGUGGGCGCUGGAGAACUGAGGGGGGCUGCUCCUAGUACGAGAGGACCGGAGUGGACGCAUCACUGGUGUUCGGGUUGUCAUGCCAAUGGCACUGCCCGGUAGCUAAAUGCGGAAGAGAUAAGUGCUGAAAGCAUCUAAGCACGAAACUUGCCCCGAGAUGAGUUCUCCCUGAGACUUAGAGUCUCCUGAAGGAACGUUGAAGACGACGACGUUGAUAGGCCGGGUGUGUAAGCGCAGCGAUGCGUUGAGCUAACCGGUACUAAUGAACCGUGAGGCUUAACCUU